UGAAUAUUGCACAAUGGGGGAAACCCUGAUGCAGCGACGCCGCGUGAGUGAAGAAGUAUCUCGGUACGUAAAGCUCUAUCAUCAGGGAAGAAAAUGACGGUACCUUACUAAGAAUCCCCGGCUAACUACGUGCCAGCAGCCGCGGUAAUACGUAGGGGGCAAGCGUUACUCGGUUUUACUGGGUGUAAAGGGAGCGUAGACGGCAGCGCAAGUCUGGAGUGAAAUGCCGGGGCCCAACCCCGGAACUGCUUUGGAAACUGUGCAGCUCGAGUGCAGGAGAGGUAAGCGGAAUUCCUAGUGUAGCGGUGAAAUGCGUAGAUAUUAGGAGGAACACCAGUGGCGAAGGCGGCUUACUGGACUGUAACUGACGUUGAGGCUCGAAAGCGUGGGGAGCAAACA
This 399-nucleotide ribosomal RNA is filed under the name uncultured bacterium. Its description in RNAcentral is "bacterial SSU rRNA". It matches the Rfam family "Bacterial small subunit ribosomal RNA", at positions 358 to 774 of the family's 1533-position model. The record is from RNAcentral.